GAUGAAGAACGUAGCGAAAUGCGAUACGUAAUGUGAAUUGCAGAAUUCAGUGAAUCAUCGAGUCUUUGAACGCACAUUGCGCCCCCUGGUAUUCCGGGGGGCAUGCCUGUUCGAGCGUCAUUACAACCCUCAAGCUCUGCUUGGUAUUGGGCUCUGCCGGUCCCGGCAGGCCUUAAAAUCAGUGGCGGCGCCACUCGGCUUCAAGCGUAGUAAUUCUUCUCGCUUCGGAGACCCGGGUGCGUGCUAGCCAGCAACCCCCAACUUUCUCAGGUUGACCUCGGAUCAGGUAGGGAUACCCGCUGAACUUAAGCAUAUCAAUAAGCGGAGGA
RNAcentral lists this unclassified non-coding RNA (329 nucleotides) under soil metagenome. RNAcentral's name for it is "partial contains 5.8S ribosomal RNA, internal transcribed spacer 2, and large subunit ribosomal RNA". The stretch from base 1 to 120 matches the Rfam family "5.8S ribosomal RNA", at positions 35 to 154 of the family's 154-position model. The record is from RNAcentral.